AUUGAACGCUGGCGGCAUGCCUUACACAUGCAAGUCGAACGGCAGCACGGGAGCAAUCCUGGUGGCGAGUGGCGAACGGGUGAGUAAUAUAUCGGAACGUGCCCGGUCGUGGGGAUAACGUAGCGAAAGCUACGCUAAUACCGCGUACGAUCUACGGAUGAAAGCGGGGAUCGCAAGACCUCGCGCGAUUGGAGCGGCCGAUAUCAGAUUAGGUAGUUGGUGAGGUAAAGGCUCACCAAGCCGACGAUCUGUAGCUGGUCUGAGAGGACGACCAGCCACACUGGGACUGAGACACGGCCCAGACUCCUACGGGAGGCAGCAGUGGGGAAUUUUGGACAAUGGGCGCAAGCCUGAUCCAGCAAUGCCGCGUGCAGGACGAAGGCC
RNAcentral lists this ribosomal RNA (384 nucleotides) under uncultured bacterium. RNAcentral's name for it is "bacterial SSU rRNA". It matches the Rfam family "Bacterial small subunit ribosomal RNA", at positions 29 to 416 of the family's 1533-position model. The record is from RNAcentral.